GGGCCCGCACAAGCGGUGGAUUAUGUGGAUUAAUUCGAUGCAACGCGAAAAACCUUACCUGGCCUUGACAUGUACCGAAUUUAGCAGAGAUGCUUUAGUGCUCGUAAGAGAACGGUAACACAGGUGCUGCAUGGCUGUCGUCAGCUCGUGUCGUGAGAUGUUGGUUAAGUCCCGCAACGAGCGCAACCCUUGCCAUUAAUUGCCAUCAUUUAGUUGGGCACUUUAAUGGGACUGCCGGUGACAAACCGGAGGAAGGUGGGGAUGACGUCAAGUCCUCAUGGCCCUUACGGGUUGGGCUACACACGUGCUACAAUGGUAGUGACAAUGGGUUAAUCCCAAAAAGCUAU
Molecule: ribosomal RNA, 347 nt
Filed under: uncultured bacterium
Lineage: Bacteria
Description: bacterial SSU rRNA
Rfam family: Bacterial small subunit ribosomal RNA
Source: RNAcentral